UCAGAUUUGAGGAAAUUGACAUCUAUGUGGACAUUUGGUUUCGAGCCUAAUGUGGCAUAAAAAGAAGGAACAUAAUGAGCGCUGAAGAAACCAGGUCCAGGCUGUGCGUCACCAGCAUUGUGCGAGAUGUCACAACAGCGCGCUCCAGCCCUGCCGAGCCUUGGCAGGUAGGAGGCUGCUGGCAAGAGCACGGGUGUUAACCUCAGGAUCCUGGCUCCGCUCCAAGCCGGGUAAUUACAUGCUGCCAGCCAAAAUUCAUCCCAUAACUUUAAUUGGAUAAAUCCUUUUUGGCCGGAGCUCCUGCUAUGCCUGUCAAACCGUCGCCACAUUUCACCCCAGAGGUGUCUGUGUUGUAGCUGCAAGUCCGUCCCUCCGAGGUCGGCCUGGCAGUGCAAAUCCGAAGGUGCUGCGGGGUCCUGUGCCACACCACACACUCGGAGACACUGUGUGAGCACCCCACCCGUGGGCCGUUCGAGAGGUUCCAGGUCUCGCACAACCCUCACUGUCUUCACCUUCCCUCUGGAGCGUUUAUCCCCAGAGCUUUAGCUGCCACUUUCCAAAAAGUCCUGCAGCGUCCUAAAGUUCCUUCCAUGGAGUGACAAAGAACAGAAGCCCCUGUCCUUCGCCUUUUCUGAGACUAUGGUAAACUGUGGCAGGUGGCAACAUGAGGGGUAGUGUUAUCCCAUCCUCCGGAGAAAACACUGAAGCCACCCACGGACUCCCAGCAAGGCUUAGCAGCUGUGGAAGGAAAGCUGCUUCAUCUUCCACUGCUCCCACCUGAGGGCAACUGGGCCUCCCUGACAGGUGACAUCUGGGCCUUUCCUUCUCCACCUCACUCACCAGACACUUGGCUCAGAAGCAGGGCCAGUGUCCCUGUAGGGCAGCAUCCCCUGAGGUCUGGCCCUGCCCAUAGAUUACAAGCUUGUGCUUUAGGAAAAGACAAGGAGACAGCGUUCCAGAAACAUCUUUCACUCCAUCCGUGUGGCCUAGAGCCUGUGACCUCCAUCAGAUGACCAGCACGGCGGGAUGUGGGCCCAGCUGUGAGCUCCUCCCCUGUGAAGCAGCGGGGGCGUUUCAGGCAGGGCCAGGAGCUGACGCGCGCCAUCCGACUCACUCAGGCUCCUGCUCAUGUUGGCUGACGUCUGCUGUUGUGGAGCCCGCGCCUGCAGUGGAGGGGUGUUUCCUGAAACCUGCGACAAAGCCGUUUUCAUUACUGUUAGUUACAUCACAGAGGAGAAGCAAGUCUGUUCCUAAAAUAGAUGUUGACUUUUUUUCCUGAAAUUUGUUCUAAUUAUGGGGCUGCAUUAAGAUUAUUUCUAAAGCUAUUAUAAUUCACAAAAUUCAUCAUCUUAUUCAGAAAAACUGCUGGGGAAUGUUUAGAGACACUGUUCCCUCAGUAACGUGAAUUUCUUUUUGCAUCGCGAGGUUUUAUCGAUAAAUGUUUACUGAAAGUUCCAGCCCAUGGACAGUGAUCACCAGCUUUUGUUAAGAGAGAGGCCACAUCUGGUGACCACAGUGACUGGUCAUGCCCGUCCUUGUGGGUCUCUGUGUCACUGUGCCCCAGGUGUGCAUAGGAAUGCGAACGCCUGCCUGUGCCGAGAAGCCCAGUCCCACGUGCAGGGGAGCGGAGACCUGCGCAGAGCCCUGGGCUGGGGUGCACCUCCCUUCUCACCCACCUGUACCUGAG
Long non-coding RNA from Heterocephalus glaber (naked mole-rat), 1687 nucleotides. NCBI's taxonomy places the organism in Eukaryota, Metazoa, Chordata, Mammalia, Rodentia, Bathyergidae. The record is from Ensembl.